This is a long non-coding RNA of Molossus molossus (Pallas's mastiff bat), 329 nucleotides long. RefSeq lists it as uncharacterized. The record is from RefSeq and is a predicted model, not a curated record. Lineage: Eukaryota; Metazoa; Chordata; Mammalia; Chiroptera; Molossidae. The transcript is spliced from 3 exons.
CUGGCUGAAGCAGGUGUGCAUGGCAGUGUUUGAACUCAUUUAUUCGCCCCGGGUACUUUCAGUCUCCUGCAAAAUUAUGUUGGUAACUUCCUGAGAGUUGCACUGUUCCUCGGAGUUUCUCAUCUUGCUCCUCCUGGAUGCCAGCAUUAUUGCCUUCAGUGUCCCCAGGCUGAAGUCAGCCAUCCUGCAAUACAAAUCAGAACCCGUUGAAUGGCUGCGUCUCAUUGAACAAAAGAAUGAAGAUCAGGAAAUCUUAGGACGUGGCUGUCCUAUGCCUAAUAGGCUGUGAAUUUUUCCGAGCCCAGAGCAAGGUUUAAGCAACAGAAGUG